UACGUAGGGUGCAGGCGUUAAUCGGAAUUACUGGGCGUAAAGCGUGCGCAGGCGGCGCGUUAAGACAGGUGUGAAAGCCCCGAGCUUAACUUGGGAAUUGCGCUUGUGACUGGCGAGCUGGAGUGUGGCAGAGGGGGGUGGAAUUCCACGUGUAGCAGUGAAAUGCGUAGAGAUGUGGAGGAACACCGAUGGCGAAGGCAGCCUCCUGGGCCAGCACUGACGCUCAUGCACGAAAGCGUGGGGAGCAAACAGG
This 253-nucleotide ribosomal RNA is filed under the name uncultured bacterium. Its description in RNAcentral is "partial 16S ribosomal RNA". It matches the Rfam family "Bacterial small subunit ribosomal RNA", at positions 524 to 776 of the family's 1533-position model. The record is from RNAcentral.